Molecule: ribosomal RNA, 392 nt
Filed under: uncultured bacterium
Lineage: Bacteria
Description: partial 16S ribosomal RNA
Rfam family: Bacterial small subunit ribosomal RNA
Source: RNAcentral
AUACGGAGGAUCCGAGCGUUAUCCGGAUUUAUUGGGUUUAAAGGGUGCGCAGGCGGCCAUUUAAGUCAGCGGUUAAAUCGUGGGGCUCAACCCCAUUCUGCCGUUGAUACUGGGUGGCUUGAUUGCGGUCGAGGUUGGCGGAAUUCGUUGUGGAGCGGGGAAAUGCAUAGAUAUGACGAAGAACACCGAUUGCGUAGGCAGCUGACCAGAACGCAAAAUGCCGCUAAGGACCGAAAGUGCGGGGAUCGACCGGAAUUGAUUCCCUUGGUAGUCCGCAAAGUAAACGUUAAAUCCUUGUUUUCGGCAUUAUAAUGUCGGAGGAAAACCGAAGCGAUAAGUAUUCCACCUGGGGAGUACGCCGGCAACGGUGAAACUCAAAGGAAUUGACGGGG